This 73-nucleotide transfer RNA is filed under the name Cottus pitensis (pit sculpin). RNAcentral describes it as "tRNA-Asp". It matches the Rfam family "tRNA". From Rfam's summary of the family: Transfer RNA (tRNA) molecules are approximately 80 nucleotides in length. Their secondary structure includes four short double-helical elements and three loops (D, anti-codon, and T loops). Further hydrogen bonds mediate the characteristic L-shaped molecular structure. tRNAs have two regions of fundamental functional importance: the anti-codon, which is responsible for specific mRNA codon recognition, and the 3' end, to which the tRNAs corresponding amino acid is attached (by aminoacyl-tRNA synthetases). tRNAs cope with the degeneracy of the genetic code in two manners: having more than one tRNA (with a specific anti-codon) for a particular amino acid; and 'wobble' base-pairing, i.e. permitting non-standard base-pairing at the 3rd anti-codon position. Lineage: Eukaryota; Metazoa; Chordata; Actinopteri; Perciformes; Cottidae. The record is from RNAcentral.
AAGACGCUAGUAAAACGGUACAUUAUACCGCCUUGUCAAGGCAGAGUUGUGGGUUAAAAUCCUGCGUGUCUUA